UAGGGUGACUGACAUCCUGGUUUGCCGGGGACUGUGGCUGUUCCCACAUUAGACAGUCCUGGAUAAACCAAGAUGUGUUGGUGCCCCCAGGAUGGC
Molecule: microRNA precursor, 96 nt
Filed under: Marmota monax (woodchuck)
Lineage: Eukaryota; Metazoa; Chordata; Mammalia; Rodentia; Sciuridae
Source: RNAcentral